UGAGGAAUCUUCCACAAUGGGCGAAAGCCUGAUGGAGCAACGCCGCGUGCAGGAUGAAGGCCUUCGGGUCGUAAACUGCUUUUAUCUGUGAUGAAUAUGACAGUAACAGAAGAAUAAGCACCGGCUAACUACGUGCCAGCAGCCGCGGUCAUACGUAGGGUGCAAGCAUUAUCCGGAGUGACUGGGCGUAAAGAGUUGCGUAGGUGGUUUGUUAAGUGAAUGGUGAAAUUUAGUGGCUCAACCACUAAACUAUUAUUCAAACUAACAGACUCGAGAGUAGCAGAGGUAACUGGAAUUUCUAGUGUAGGAGUAAAAUCCGUAGAUAUUAGAAGGAACACCAAUGGCGUAGGCAGGUUACUAGGCUAUUUCUGACACUAAGGCACGAAAGCGUGGGGAGCAA
Molecule: ribosomal RNA, 400 nt
Filed under: uncultured bacterium
Lineage: Bacteria
Description: bacterial SSU rRNA
Rfam family: Bacterial small subunit ribosomal RNA
Source: RNAcentral